Molecule: ribosomal RNA, 460 nt
Filed under: uncultured bacterium
Lineage: Bacteria
Description: partial 16S ribosomal RNA
Rfam family: Bacterial small subunit ribosomal RNA
Source: RNAcentral
CCUACGGGUGGCAGCAGUGAGGAAUAUUGGUCAAUGGACGAGAGUCUGAACCAGCCAAGUAGCGUGAAGGAUGACUGCCCUAGGGGUUGUAAACUUCUUUUAUAAAGGAAUAAAACGAGGCAAGUGUGCCUUUUUGCAUGUACUUUAUGAAUAAGGAUCGGCUAACACCGUGCCAGCAGCCGCGGUAAUACGGAGGAUCCGAGCGUUAUCCGGAUUUAUUGGGUUUAAAGGGAGCGUAGAUGGGUUGUUAAGUCAGUUGUGAAAGUUUGCGGCUCAAUCGUAAAAUUGCAAUUGAUACUGGCAGUCUUGAGUACAGGUGAGGUAGGCGGAAUUCGUGGUGUAGCGGUGAAAUGCUUAGAUAUCACGAAGAACCCCGAUUGCGAAGGCAGCUUACUAAACUGUGACUGACAUUGAUGCUCGAAAGUGUGGGGAUCAAACAGGAUUAGAUACCCUGGUAGUC